Molecule: long non-coding RNA, 494 nt
Filed under: Setaria viridis
Lineage: Eukaryota; Viridiplantae; Streptophyta; Magnoliopsida; Poales; Poaceae
Description: long non-coding RNA (SVIR_LNC001734)
Source: RNAcentral
UGGAUUUUAUGGGUUGAGAUUUGAGGAUUUUCUUGACCCAUGGUUGGUGUUGUCUUCUACCUUUUAAAAUGUCUUAAGGAAACGUGCAUUGACUCCGAAGGCAACGAUAAUCUAGCUCUCUCGUGAAAACGCAUCUUCGUCAAGCCUCCCUUGCAAAGAUCUAUCUAGGAGCCCCAAUUCUCGGCGAGGCUGUUGACGGUGAGAGGGAGAGGGUCGCUCCUCCACUACUAUUGGCAGCAGUUAGCGCGUCACUUGGAACUGCAACCGCAUGAAUCAGUUGUACCUUUUCCCUUGCAGUAUCUCCCAAGGUUUAUCAAUCCAUGGAAACAAGUUCUCAAGCCCUAAACUAACUAAGCAUCGGAAAACAUAAUUCAGGUCAAGAUGACUGUGAAUAGACAUGAAUAGAUACGAAGCAUGAGCAGAUAUAAAUAAGAGAUGACUCAUCACGAUCUGACUCCCGAAAACCCCCCACCUUACAUGGUAUGAGACCCCGU